Small nuclear RNA from Macaca mulatta (Rhesus monkey), 103 nucleotides. NCBI's taxonomy places the organism in Eukaryota, Metazoa, Chordata, Mammalia, Primates, Cercopithecidae. The record is from Ensembl.
UUGCUUCAGCAACACAUAGACUAAAAUUGGAAUGAUACAGAGGAGAUUAGCAUGGCCCCUGCACAAGGAUGACACGCAAAUUCGUGAAGCAUUCCAUAUUUAA